ACUUAGUCUGCCCUGUUGCUAUUU
RNAcentral lists this non-coding RNA (24 nucleotides) under Cricetulus griseus (Chinese hamster). The record is from RNAcentral. Lineage: Eukaryota; Metazoa; Chordata; Mammalia; Rodentia; Cricetidae.